This 412-nucleotide ribosomal RNA is filed under the name uncultured bacterium. RNAcentral's name for it is "bacterial SSU rRNA". It matches the Rfam family "Bacterial small subunit ribosomal RNA", at positions 355 to 775 of the family's 1533-position model. The record is from RNAcentral.
UGGGGAAUAUUGCACAAUGGGCGCAAGCCUGAUGCAGCGACGCCGCGUGAGGGAUGACGGCCUUCGGGUUGUAAACCUCUUUCGCCAGGGACGAAGCUUUUCGGAGUGACGGUACCUGGAUAAGAAGCACCGGCUAACUACGUGCCAGCAGCCGCGGUAAUACGUAGGGUGCGAGCGUUGUCCGGAAUUAUUGGGCGUAAAGAGCUCGUAGGCGGUUUGUCGCGUCUAUCGUGAAAACCUGCGGCUUAACUGUGGGCUUGCGGUGGAUACGGGCAGACUUGAGUUCGGUAGGGGAGACUGGAAUUCCUGGUGUAGCGGUGAAAUGCGCAGAUAUCAGGAGGAACACCGGUGGCGAAGGCGGGUCUCUGGGCCGAUACUGACGCUGAGGAGCGAAAGCGUGGGGAGCGAACAG